Long non-coding RNA from Drosophila montana, 544 nucleotides. RefSeq lists it as uncharacterized. The record is from RefSeq and is a predicted model, not a curated record. Lineage: Eukaryota; Metazoa; Arthropoda; Insecta; Diptera; Drosophilidae. The transcript has 3 exons.
AUAAUGGCAGAAUAGUGGACAAUACAGAUAUGAAGCAGCAUUUAGACACUAGCGAAAAUUUUUACGUGAUUAACAUCGAAUAAAUUAGAGUUACGAAUGGACAAAGGCGAAUUAUUAGGAUGAGGUAUCAAAUAUUUGGGUUUCCUUAUUUCUAAAAAAUUAUAUUCAGGCAAAUGAAAAGGGAAUAGAAGCGGAAAAAAUGAUUCUUACACAGGCAAUUUAUGAUCAUGGGCAUGACACUAAAAUAGAUAGUGACAUCAGCUCUUUAGAGGUUGGUGUCGUGUUAGUACAUAAAAAAGACGAUGGAAAACUUCAUCCGGGUUUUUAUUUCUUAAGGCGUACUACAGAAGUGGAAAACAAGUACCGUAGGUUUUAAGUAGAAACUUUGGCAAUGGAUAAAAAGGCUGGAGUACGCGUUUACAAUGAUCAUGUCUAUAUAAAACUUAAUAGACAGCCAUGCAUAAUUUUAUGUAUGUGGACGUGUCUAACUUACACGGUGCUCUCCUGGCGAAUCCUGUUUGAAAGUAGUACUCAAUGAUAUGGG